GAUGAACGCUGGCGGCGUGCUUAACACAUGCAAGUCGAGCGAAGCACUUUACUUUGAUUUCUUCGGAAUGAAGAGUGAUUUGACUGAGCGGCGGACGGGUGAGUAACGCGUGGGCAACCUGCCUCAUACAGGGGGAUAACAGUUAGAAAUGACUGCUAAUACCGCAUAAGACCACAGUACCGCAUGGUACAGGGGUAAAAACUCCGGUGGUGUGAGAUGGACCCGCGUCUGAUUAGCUGGUUGGUGGGGUAACGGCCUACCAAGGCGACGAUCAGUAGCCGGCCUGAGAGGGCGACCGGCCACAUUGGGACUGAGACACGGGCCCAAACUCCUACGGGAGGCAGCCAGUGGGGAAUAUUGCACAAUGGGGACGAAAGCCUAGAUGCAGCGACGCCGCGUGAGCGAUGAAGUA
Molecule: ribosomal RNA, 412 nt
Filed under: uncultured bacterium
Lineage: Bacteria
Description: bacterial SSU rRNA
Rfam family: Bacterial small subunit ribosomal RNA
Source: RNAcentral